RNAcentral lists this ribosomal RNA (234 nucleotides) under uncultured bacterium. RNAcentral describes it as "partial 16S ribosomal RNA". It matches the Rfam family "Bacterial small subunit ribosomal RNA", at positions 118 to 351 of the family's 1533-position model. The record is from RNAcentral.
UGAGCAAUCUGCCCUUCUCUUUGGAAUAAGCGUUGGAAACGACGUCUAAUGCCGAAUACGACCUCCUUUCGCAUGAUCGGAGGUGGAAAGCUCCGGCGGAGAAGGAUGAGCUCGCGGCCUAUCAGCUAGUUGGUGUGGGUAAUGGCCCACCAAGGCGACGACGGGUAGCCGGCCUGAGAGGGCGACCGGCCACACUGGGACUGAGACACGGCCCAGACUCCGUACGGGAGGNAG